GUCCACGCCCUAAACGAUGCGAGCCCGGUGUAGGAACUUCAAUCAGUUCCUGUGCCUCAAGCUAACGCGGUAAGCUCGCCGCCUGGGAAGUACGGUCGCAAGACUAAAACUCAAAGGAAUAGACGGGGACCCACACAAGCGGUGGAGCAUGGGGUUUAAUUCGAUGAUAAGCGAAGCACCUCACCCAGACUUGACAUGGUAGGAAUCUCGAAGAAAUUCGAGAGUGCCGCAAGGAACCUACACACAGGCGUUGCACGGUCGUCGU
This 265-nucleotide ribosomal RNA is filed under the name uncultured bacterium. RNAcentral describes it as "partial 16S ribosomal RNA". It matches the Rfam family "Bacterial small subunit ribosomal RNA", at positions 793 to 1055 of the family's 1533-position model. The record is from RNAcentral.